Long non-coding RNA from Labrus mixtus (cuckoo wrasse), 299 nucleotides. RefSeq lists it as uncharacterized. NCBI's taxonomy places the organism in Eukaryota, Metazoa, Chordata, Actinopteri, Labriformes, Labridae. The transcript has 5 exons. The record is from RefSeq and is a predicted model, not a curated record.
CUGGCAACCCGUGCUAGCUGUACGACGCAUGCGCAGUGCAGAGUGCGCACUAGCCCUUGACCACGAGCAGCGGAGGGAGAGCAGCAGCGUCAAGAGGAAGAAAACUAGCAACUUCUACGUUUACUAAAACUGAGCAAAAAUGGACGACUGGCAUGAAGAGGGACCUUCCACUAGCACUGCUGUACAGUCCAGCCACACUUCAAGUGAAGGCACACAAGGAAGCUCCUGGAACUCAGGUGGAGGUUUCGGAGGACGAGGCCGCGGCAGAGGGGGAGGAUUUAAAAGCUUCUCCUCAGGUG